This 670-nucleotide long non-coding RNA is filed under the name Capsella rubella. RNAcentral describes it as "long non-coding RNA (CRUB_LNC003425)". Lineage: Eukaryota; Viridiplantae; Streptophyta; Magnoliopsida; Brassicales; Brassicaceae. The record is from RNAcentral.
UUAUUCAGCUGGACUUGUUCUAUAGCCCGCGAAAGCCAGUUAGUUUAGUGAUUGAUGACCAGAAGUUUAUUUUAAUGUUUUUAGUUAUUACACCAAAAUUGAAUAUUGAAUCUUAUAAAUUGAUGUACUUUUCAUUUUACUAAUGAUAUUAACGUUCUUAGCAAAAAAAAAAAGUGUUACUCUUCAUUUAUCUUCAUUUUAUUAAUGAUAUUGACGUUCUUAGCACACACAAAAAAAAGAAAGAAAAAUGUAUCUUGUAAAUUUAUUUAUCUGUAUCAAUUCCAAAACUGUGGGUUGAGGUGGGUUUGUGAUAGACUCUCUCAACUGUGAUGUUGUAUGAACAAUUAGAAUUUUAAUAUUAUGAAAAGUUUACAUACGUAAACAUGAAACAGUGUUAUAUAUAUAUGGUUAUAAAAAUAAUUUUAAAGAAAACUCUGUGUUAUAUAUACAAUAUUUUUUUUUUAAAAAUGCUAGAAGGGAGUAGGGAAUGCAAGGAGGUGAGUGCAUAGAGCAUACGUACGUACUUUCCUUUACCUCCAAAAUAGGCAGCAAUCGUCAAACGCUAAUAUGAGCCGAGUCGAGCCUUUCUGAGCCGUAGUACCGUUCGAGAACUCCCACGUGUCUCAUCAAAGUAAUUGUAUGAUAUUUUUAUUUUCAUACACACUCCUUU